Molecule: ribosomal RNA, 1441 nt
Filed under: Weissella confusa
Lineage: Bacteria; Bacillati; Bacillota; Bacilli; Lactobacillales; Lactobacillaceae
Description: bacterial SSU rRNA
Rfam family: Bacterial small subunit ribosomal RNA
Source: RNAcentral
CAAGUCGAACGCUUUGUGGUUCAACUGAUUUGAAGAGCUUGCUCAGAUAUGACGAUGGACAUUGCAAAGAGUGGCGAACGGGUGAGUAACACGUGGGAAACCUACCUCUUAGCAGGGGAUAACAUUUGGAAACAGAUGCUAAUACCGUAUAACAAUGACAACCGCAUGGUUGUUAUUUAAAAGAUGGUUCUGCUAUCACUAAGAGAUGGUCCCGCGGUGCAUUAGCUAGUUGGUAAGGUAAUGGCUUACCAAGGCGAUGAUGCAUAGCCGAGUUGAGAGACUGAUCGGCCACAAUGGGACUGAGACACGGCCCAUACUCCUACGGGAGGCAGCAGUAGGGAAUCUUCCACAAUGGGCGAAAGCCUGAUGGAGCAACGCCGCGUGUGUGAUGAAGGGUUUCGGCUCGUAAAACACUGUUGUAAGAGAAGAAUGACAUUGAGAGUAACUGUUCAAUGUGUGACGGUAUCUUACCAGAAAGGAACGGCUAAAUACGUGCCAGCAGCCGCGGUAAUACGUAUGUUCCAAGCGUUAUCCGGAUUUAUUGGGCGUAAAGCGAGCGCAGACGGUUAUUUAAGUCUGAAGUGAAAGCCCUCAGCUCAACUGAGGAAUUGCUUUGGAAACUGGAUGACUUGAGUGCAGUAGAGGAAAGUGGAACUCCAUGUGUAGCGGUGAAAUGCGUAGAUAUAUGGAAGAACACCAGUGGCGAAGGCGGCUUUCUGGACUGUAACUGACGUUGAGGCUCGAAAGUGUGGGUAGCAACAGGAUUAGAUACCCUGGUAGUCCACACCGUAAACGAUGAGUGCUAGGUGUUUGAGGGUUUCCGCCCUUAAGUGCCGCAGCUAACGCAUUAAGCACUCCGCCUGGGGAGUACGACCGCAAGGUUGAAACUCAAAGGAAUUGACGGGGACCCGCACAAGCGGUGGAGCAUGUGGGUUUAAUUUCGAAGCAACGCGAAGAACCCUUACCAGGUCUUGACAUCCCUUUGACACUCCAGAGAUGGGAGCGUUUCCCUUUCGGGGACAAGGUGACAGGUGGUGCAUGAUGUCGUCAGCUCGUGUCGUGAGAAUACUGAGAACACGCCAUACUCUACGGAGCAGCAGUAGGGAUCUCACAUGGCGAAGAUGAGCAACGCCGCGUGUGUGAUGAAGGUUCGGCGGUUAAGUCCCGCAACGAGCGCAACCCUUAUUACUAGUUGCCAGCAUUCAGUUGGGCACUCUAGUGAGACUGCCGGUGACAAACCGGAGGAAGGUGGGGAUGACGUCAAAUCAUCAUGCCCCUUAUGACCUGGGCUACACACGUGCUACAAUGGCGUAUACAACGAGUUGCCAACCCGCGAGGGUGAGCUAAUCUCUUAAAGUACGUCUCAGUUCGGAUUGUAGGCUGCAACUCGCCUACAUGAAGUCGGAAUCGCUAGUAAUCGCGGAUCAGCACGCCGCGGUGA